UACCCGCAGCACAAGUGGCGGUCAUUAUUAUUGGGCCUAAAGCGUCCGUAGCUGGCUUGUUAGAUGCCUGGGUAAAUCGAUGCGCUCAACGCAUCGAACUCCGGGUAGACCGGCAAGCUUGGGACCGGGAGAGGCGUGAGCUACUCGAGGGGUAGGGGUAAAAUCCUGUAAUCCUUCGGGGAGGACCAGUGGCGAAGGCGUCACGCUAGAACGGCUCCGACAGUGAGGGACGAAGCCCUGGGGCGCAAACCGG
Molecule: ribosomal RNA, 253 nt
Filed under: uncultured bacterium
Lineage: Bacteria
Description: partial 16S ribosomal RNA
Rfam family: Archaeal small subunit ribosomal RNA
Source: RNAcentral